AUCCAUUUAGGAUUUUAAAACAAUCUAUCACCUAUCUUUGACCAUAUGGACUAAAAUUGAUAUCCACCAAUAGACACUGAUGCCUGCAAGUCAACAGCAUAAAGAGUGGUAAAGUCAGUGCUGCAAAAGAUGAAAUGUUUUUAAUGUGGCUUUGAUAUCAGGAUGAUGCUGGCCUCAUAAAAUGAGUUUGGGAGGAUUCCCUCUUUUUCUAUCAACUGGAAUAGUUUCAGAAGGAAUGGUACCAGCUCCUCCUUGUACCUCUGGUAGAAUUCGGCCGUGAAUCCAUCUGGUCCUGGACUUUUUUUGGUUGCUCUGGAGGCUAACCAUCCAAGACCAAGAUGUCAGCAGGAUUGGUUCCUGAGGGCCUUGAGGAAGAAUCUGUUCCAGGACUUUCCCUUUGGCUUGCCAUUGGCCAUAUUCUCUCUGUGUCUUCUCACGUCUUCCCUCUGUAUUUGUUUCCAAAUUUCCUCUUCUUAUAAGGACAGUAGUCAUAUUGGAAAAAGGAACACCCUAAUAACCUAAUUUUAACUUGAUUACCUCUUUAAAGACCUUAUCUCCAAAUACCAUCACAUUCUGAACUAUUAAAGAUUAAUGCGUCAAUAUAUGAAUUUUGUGAGGGGCAGGGAGACAGAAUACAACCAACCCACAACACCCAGAUACAUAGCGAAAUCUUCUUCUUCUAGGCCCCCUGUGCCUGUGUCCACCACUUCAUCCCCCAAUUAGCUAUAUUUGAAAAAGUAAGAGGGAAAGAACAGUUGGAGGGGGAAGAGAGAGAGAAAGAAGACAGACAACUUAGAUUAUGUGCCCUAGAUGUUGGCCUUACAAAACGGGAGCAAAUCUUAACCAAUCAUUGUAGCAAAACCUUUUGUUUAUGAAGGAAGUUCCUUUUGUUUCUUUUCAGUCCACUCUACCUGCUAAUUAAAAUCAAUAAUAUGAGAUGCCGUGCUAUCUUUCCUACCUGAGCCACUUAUACUGUAUUGUCAGGUUUGGUUUAUUUCAUUUUCUGAGCUUAUUUGCCAGUUAAUCAUUUGUUUUUA
Molecule: long non-coding RNA, 1037 nt
Filed under: Homo sapiens (human)
Lineage: Eukaryota; Metazoa; Chordata; Mammalia; Primates; Hominidae
Description: long intergenic non-protein coding RNA 1340
Source: RNAcentral